CGAGCAGGGUCGAAAGACGGACUUAGUGAUCCGGUGGUUCCGCAUGGAAGGGCCAUCGCUCAACGGAUAAAAGCUACCCCGGGGAUAACAGGCUUAUCUCCCCCAAGAGUUCACAUCGACGGGGAGGUUUGGCACCUCGAUGUCGGCUCAUCGCAUCCUGGGGCUGUAGUCGGUCCCAAGGGUUGGGCUGUUCGCCCAUUAAAGCGGUACGCGAGCUGGGUUCAGAACGUCGUGAGACAGUUCGGUCCCUAUCCGUCGUGGGCGUAGGAAAUUUGAGAGGAGCUGUCCUUAGUACGAGAGGACCGGGAUGGACAUACCUCUGGUGUACCAGUUGUCGUGCCAACGGCAUAGCUGGGUAGCUAUGUGUGGACGGGAUAAGUGCUGAAAGCAUCUAAGCAUGAAGCCCCCCUCAAGAUGAGAUUUCCCAACUUCGGUUAUAAGAUCCCUCAAAGAUGAUGAGGUUAAUAGGUUCGAGGUGGAAGCAUGGUGACAUGUGGAGCUGACGAAUACUAA
Molecule: ribosomal RNA, 513 nt
Filed under: Staphylococcus aureus
Lineage: Bacteria; Bacillati; Bacillota; Bacilli; Caryophanales; Staphylococcaceae
Description: partial 23S ribosomal RNA
Rfam family: Bacterial large subunit ribosomal RNA
Source: RNAcentral